UUGAUAACUUAGUGGCGGACGGGUGAGUAACGCGUGGGUAACCUGCCGUAUACAGGGGGAUAACACUUAGAAAUAGGUGCUAAUACCGCAUAAGCGCACGGUUCCGCAUGGGACAGUGUGAAAAACCGAGGUGGUAUACGAUGGACCCGCGUCUGAUUAGCCAGUUGGCAGGGUAACGGCCUACCAAAGCGACGAUCAGUAGCCGGCCUGAGAGGGCGGACGGCCACAUUGGGACUGAGACACGGCCCAAACUCCUACGGGAGGCAGCAG
RNAcentral lists this ribosomal RNA (270 nucleotides) under uncultured bacterium. RNAcentral's name for it is "partial 16S ribosomal RNA". It matches the Rfam family "Bacterial small subunit ribosomal RNA", at positions 84 to 354 of the family's 1533-position model. The record is from RNAcentral.